UUGAAUGGGUUCCCACGUGGCUGUUAGGAUGAGAUGUGAACCAUGACAUGUAGUUCAAUCUACCUAAAAAACCACGAACCUCUCUUUCUGUUCUCGGUUCAGGCAUUUCUUUUUUCUUUAUUAUUAUUAUUAUUUUUUUUUAAAACAGGACCAACCUCGAUUCCUCUCUUACAAUGAACCCCAACAGCUUACCGGCCCGCACUCUGAAAGUGCACUUAUCUGAAUUCAACCUCAGUUUGAACUGUCUCAACUGGUCCACUCAGCUUGGCCAGAUCUGCCAGAUGCCCCUUGUCAUACGGUGAACUGGACCUUAUUGGAUUUGUAAUCGCAAUGUCGCGGUUAGCAAGAGUCGCCACCGACUUUUCUUUUAUCCCUUAAGGAAAGGUGGAAAAGAACAGGAAAGACCUUAAUUUUAAAUUCUUAGGUUCGGGAGGUACUUUAUACAAAGGGAAGGUGUUAGCACCCUUUGUAUCCAUGGUUAUCCAUGGGCUCUUAAUUGCUCAAUCAUUUAUGUUUUUUUUUUUUAGUUUGAAAAAGGGGGUUGAGAAAGGUGUGAAAAAUGUUUUGCAAAAUGAGAAUUUAACUUUGUAAUGAUUCUUGCAUGAAUGUAUACAAAGUGGUUAUCUCGUUU
This 631-nucleotide long non-coding RNA is filed under the name Lathyrus oleraceus (garden pea). RNAcentral's name for it is "Pisum sativum (pea) long non-coding RNA (PSAT_LNC000728)". Lineage: Eukaryota; Viridiplantae; Streptophyta; Magnoliopsida; Fabales; Fabaceae. The record is from RNAcentral.